UGGGGAAUUUUGGACAAUGGGCGAAAGCCUGAUCCAGCAAUGCCGCGUGUGUGAAGAAGGCCUUCGGGUUGUAAAGCACUUUUGUCCGGAAAGAAAUCCUUGGCUCUAAUACAGUCGGGGGAUGACGGUACCGGAAGAAUAAGCACCGGCUAACUACGUGCCAGCAGCCGCGGUAAUACGUAGGGUGCAAGCGUUAAUCGGAAUUACUGGGCGUAAAGCGUGCGCAGGCGGUUUGCUAAGACCGAUGUGAAAUCCCCGGGCUCAACCUGGGAACUGCAUUGGUGACUGGCAGGCUAGAGUAUGGCAGAGGGGGGUAGAAUUCCACGUGUAGCANUGAAAUGCGUAGAGAUGUGGAGGAAUACCGAUGGCGAAGGCAGCCCCCUGGGCCAAUACUGACGCUCAUGCACGAAAGCGUGGGGAGCAAACAGGAUUCAGAUACCCUGGUAGUCCACGCCCUAAACGAUGUCAACUAGUUGUUGGGGAUUCAUUUCCUUAGUAACGUAGCUAACGCGUGAAGUUGACCGCCUGGGGAGUACGGUCGCAAGAUUAAAACUCAAAUGAAUUGACGGGGUCAUAGCUGUUUCCU
RNAcentral lists this ribosomal RNA (586 nucleotides) under uncultured bacterium. RNAcentral's name for it is "partial 16S ribosomal RNA". It matches the Rfam family "Bacterial small subunit ribosomal RNA", at positions 355 to 1375 of the family's 1533-position model. The record is from RNAcentral.